ACGAACCACCCAAACGUUAUUCGGAAUUACUGGGCUUAAAGAGUGCGUAGGCGGUCUUGAAAGUAGGGUGUGAAAUCCCACAGCUCAACUGUGGAACUGCGCUCUAAACUACAAGACUAGAGGGAUAUAGAGGUGAGCAGAACUGAUGGUGGAGCGGUGAAAUGCGUUGAUAUCAUCAGGAAUACCGGAGGCGAAGGCGGCUCACUGGGUAUCUUCUGACGCUGAGGUACGAAAGCUAGGGGAGCGAACGGGA
This 253-nucleotide ribosomal RNA is filed under the name uncultured prokaryote. RNAcentral describes it as "partial 16S ribosomal RNA". It matches the Rfam family "Bacterial small subunit ribosomal RNA", at positions 525 to 777 of the family's 1533-position model. The record is from RNAcentral.